CAGAAGAUAGUUUAAUAAAAUUUUAAUUUUGGAGAUUAAAGAUGAGAAAAUUUUCUUUCUUCUGA
RNAcentral lists this transfer RNA (65 nucleotides) under Ochthebius colveranus. RNAcentral describes it as "tRNA-Pro". Lineage: Eukaryota; Metazoa; Arthropoda; Insecta; Coleoptera; Hydraenidae. The record is from RNAcentral.